UCGGAAAGCGGGGACUGGUGCUGCUUCUG
RNAcentral lists this non-coding RNA (29 nucleotides) under Homo sapiens (human). The record is from RNAcentral. Lineage: Eukaryota; Metazoa; Chordata; Mammalia; Primates; Hominidae.